CCUACGGGAGGCAGCAGUGGGGAAUAUUGCACAAUGGGGGAAACCCUGAUGCAGCGAAGCCGCGUGAGUGAAGAAGUAUUUCGGUAUGUAAAGCUCUAUCAGCAGGGAAGAAAAUGACGGUACCUGAUUAAGAAGCCCCGGCUAACUACGUGCCAGCAGCCGCGGUAAUACGUAGGGGGCAAGCGUUAUCCGGAUUUACUGGGUGUAAGGGGAGCGUAGACGGCAGCACAAGUCUGGAGUGAAAUGCCGGGGCUUAACCCCGGAACUGCUGUGGAAACUGGGCAGCUAGAGUGAAGGAGAGGUAAGUGGAAUGCCUGGUGUAGCGGUGAAAUGCGUAGAUAUUAGGAGGAACACCAGUGGCGAAGGCGGCUUACUGGACUGUAACUGGCGUUGAGGCUCGAAAGCGUGGGGAGCAAACAGGAUUAGAUACCCUGGUAGUC
RNAcentral lists this ribosomal RNA (440 nucleotides) under uncultured bacterium. RNAcentral describes it as "partial 16S ribosomal RNA". It matches the Rfam family "Bacterial small subunit ribosomal RNA", at positions 338 to 795 of the family's 1533-position model. The record is from RNAcentral.